UAUGUGAUCGUCUCUCGCAUAUCAAUAAGCGGAGGAAAAGAAACUAACAAGGAUUCCCCUAGUAACGGCGAGUGAAGCGGGAAGAGCUCAAAUUUGAAAUCUUAAAGGGUUUCCCUUUACGAAUUGUAGUUUAAAGAAGUGUUUUCUGUUGAGGUUUUGGUAAAAGUUCUUUGGAAUAGGACAUCAUAGAGGGUGAGAAUCCCGUAUUUGACCUUUACUUUCAACUUUGUGAUACACUUUCAAAGAGUCGGAUUGUUUGGGAAUGCAGUCCGAAAUGGGUGGUAAAUUUCAUCUAAAGCUAAAUAUUGGCGAGAGACCGAUAGCGAACAAGUACCGUGAGGGAAAGAUGAAAAGAACUUUGAAAAGAGAGUUAAACAGUACGUGAAAUUGUCAAAAGGGAAGCGUUUGACACCAGUGUUGUUUUUCUGAAAAUCAAUUAAAGAACUGUUUAUGCUAAGUUGUUUAGACUUUAUCAGCUAACUGUUUAGUUUUGAGCUUUUCUUUAAUGCACUUUUCAGUUAACAAGUCAACAUCAAUUUCUUUUGCUGUAAAAAAGCUUGAGGAAGGUGGCUUGAGAUUCGUCUUAAGUGUUUAUAGCCUCUUGCCUAUGCAGUCGGAGAGAUUGAGGUCUGCAGCGUAGAUCCUUCGGGGCUAAAUGCAUUUGUGCUAAGUUAUAGCAUUUUAUAGACAACUUGUUGACUAUGAUUUGUCUUGUAGCUUACUCGCUUAUGUUAUUUUACCUACGCUUAGGAUGUUGACUGAUAUGUAGUCGU
Molecule: ribosomal RNA, 773 nt
Filed under: uncultured Neocallimastigales
Lineage: Eukaryota; Fungi; Neocallimastigomycota; Neocallimastigomycetes; Neocallimastigales
Description: partial large subunit ribosomal RNA
Rfam family: Eukaryotic large subunit ribosomal RNA
Source: RNAcentral